This 794-nucleotide ribosomal RNA is filed under the name uncultured eukaryote. RNAcentral's name for it is "SSU rRNA". It matches the Rfam family "Eukaryotic small subunit ribosomal RNA", at positions 190 to 1019 of the family's 1831-position model. The record is from RNAcentral.
CUUUUCCGAGGUCGUAAUUAUUAGUAUUAAACCAAUUCCUUCGGGAGUGUGAUGAAUCAUAGUAAUCGAACGAAUCGCAGAGUUCUGCGAUAAAUCAUUCAAGUUUCUGCCCUAUCAGCUUUGGAUGGUAGUGUAUUGGACUACCAUGGCAGUCACGGGUAACGGAGAAUUAGGGUUCGAUUCCGGAGAGGGAGCCUGAGAAACGGCUACCACAUCUACGGAGGGCAGCAGGCGCGAAAAUUGCCCAAUCCCGAUACGGGGAGGCAGUGACAAGAAAUAACAACUCUCGACUAUGUUGAGAAGUGUAAUGAGGAUAAUUUACAAACCUUACCGAAAGCAAUUGGAGGGCAAGUCUGGUGCCAGCAGCCGCGGUAAUUCCAGCUCCAAUAGCGUAUAUUAAAGUUGUUGCAGUUAAAAAGCUCGUAGUUGAAGUUCUGGCUGUAUGGGCCUCUGCACUAGAUGCGAAGGUACCAGCAGCCAUCCGCUUGCAAAUACAUGUCCUUCUUUAACCGGUAGGCUGUAUGAGCAAGCAAUUUACCUUGAGAAAAACAGAGUGCACCAGGCAGGUAUGUCCGGAAUGCAUUAGCAUGGAAUAAUAGAAUAUGACUGAAGUCGAUUUAUUGGUUUGAGGCUUUAGUAAUGAUUAAUAGGAACAAUCGGGGGCAUUAGUACUUGCCAGUCAGAGGUGAAAUUCUAAGAUUUGGCAAAGACUAACUGAUGCGAAAGCGUUUGCCAAGGAUGUUUUCAUUAAUCAAGAACGAAAGUUAGGGGAUCAAAGACGAUCAGAUACCGUC